CCUACGGGAGGCAGCAGUGGGGAAUAUUGGGCAAUGGGCGCAAGCCUGACCCAGCAACGCCGCGUGAAGGAAGAAGGCUUUCGGGUUGUAAACUUCUUUUAAUGGGGAAGAGCAGAAGACGGUACCCCUUGAAUAAGCCACGGCUAACUACGUGCCAGCAGCCGCGGUAAUACGUAGGUGGCAAGCGUUGUCCGGAUUUCCUGGGUGUAAAGGGCGUGCAGCCGGAGAGACAAGUCAGAUGUGAAAUCCACGGGCUCAACCCGUGAACUGCAUUUGAAACUGUUUCCCUUGAGUGUCGGAGAGGUAAUCGGAAUUCCUUGAGUAGCGGUGAAAUGCGUAGAUAUAAGGAAGAACACCAGUGGCGAAGGCGGAUUACUGGACGAUAACUGACGGUGAGGCGCGAAAGCGUGGGGAGCAAACAGGAUGAGACACCCGAGUAGUC
This 442-nucleotide ribosomal RNA is filed under the name uncultured bacterium. RNAcentral's name for it is "partial 16S ribosomal RNA". It matches the Rfam family "Bacterial small subunit ribosomal RNA", at positions 338 to 795 of the family's 1533-position model. The record is from RNAcentral.